Molecule: non-coding RNA, 1032 nt
Organism: Nelumbo nucifera (sacred lotus)
Lineage: Eukaryota; Viridiplantae; Streptophyta; Magnoliopsida; Proteales; Nelumbonaceae
Source: RefSeq, a predicted model, not a curated record
UUCUACUCCAACAUAUUCAUAUACAUCGGUCGGAACAAUUACCAGAACAUCGAUCUCGAGUGCCCAGAGCUAGCAUUCUGCAGUACCCUAUCUGAAACCGAGCUCCACCACCCACUUCCACUACGGUCUGGUGGUGAUUGCAUUGAUUGCUGUCUUGCUCGUAGCUUACAACCUAAUGUUCGUCAUGUGGUGUCAGCAACAUCCUUUACGACGACUUGGUGGAAGAUCAGACGACCCAUCAGGAAAAAUGAUCAGCGGACAGCGGGAAUGAGACUGAGAAUCCAAAUGGGGGAUUAGCUGCAGAUCUUAAACGCAGGAAGGACACCCAUAAUGUACAGGAGUCUGAACGAGUGUUCCGUGUGCUUGUCGGUUUUUGUUGAUGGCGAAGAUAUUCGGCAGCUAGCCUUGUGCAAGCACACCUUCCAUGCUCCUUGCAUAGAUAUGUGGCUCCAUUCUCACUCCAGUUGUUCACUUUGUCGCGCCUCUGUCGUGGAGCUCCGCCCAGAUAUCUGGGAAUUGGCCGAAGAAAAUGAUUUAAGGCUAGGAAUGGCGGAUUCAAGGAGAGCUUUAGUGUGAGUCUUUUCUGCCGAGCCUAGCUAGCUAUUUGUUCGCACUUCUCCAUCGCUUAAUUACUGUGAUAAUGUUGGAUGUAAAGCUGGGGUCAUAGACUCAUAGCUUUGUCGCCCUAUGUAUUUUAUACACCCCAACCUAAUUACAGCUUAUAUAUUACCAUUCCGUCGUACUCAUGUGCAAUCAACCUCGAUCUGCUUGAGUUCAAACACAAGGUGGACCUUAACUGCCGCCGGUAAAGCUUGGUAGCGAGACCUGCGGCCUAAUGUUGAUGCCGAAAGGCCAUCUGAUCAUGAGUUACAGAAACUGGCCGGCCGGGACUAUGAUCUGAUCGAGUUUUGACCAUAUCAAAGUUCUGGGUAGCCAAGUUUCGCAUCCCCAAUACACGCAUUACGUAGAUUUUGUACAGGAAAUGAGAUUAGUUAGUUCAGAUUUGGGAUUUGGUUAAUUACCUUGAGGCAA